RNAcentral lists this long non-coding RNA (475 nucleotides) under Salmo salar (Atlantic salmon). Its description in RNAcentral is "lncRNA (ENSSSAG00000108846.1)". Lineage: Eukaryota; Metazoa; Chordata; Actinopteri; Salmoniformes; Salmonidae. The record is from RNAcentral.
UAGUUAUUCAGAUAUUACAGGGUUUAAGUAGUUAUUGAGAUAUUACAGGGUUUUAGUAGUUAUUGAUAUAUUACAGGUCAGGGUUUUAGUAGGUAUUGAGAUAUUACAGGGUUUUAGUAGUUAUUGAUAUAUUACAGGUCAGGGUUUUAGUAGGUAUUGAGAUAUUACACGUUUUAGUAGUUAUUGACAUAUUACAUGUCAGGGUUUUAGUAGUUAUUGAGAUAUUACAGGUCAGGGUUUUAGUAGUUAUUGAGAUAUUACAGGGUUUUAGUAGUUAUUGAGAUAUUACACGUUUUAGUAGUUAUUGAGAUAUUACACGUUUUAGUAGUUAUUGAGAUAUUACAGGGUUUUAGUAGUUAUUGAGAUAUUACAGGUUUUAGUAGUUAUUGAGAUAUUACAGGUCAGGGUUUUAGUAGUUAUUGAUAUAUUACAGGGUUUUAGUAGUUAUUGAGAUAUUACAGGGUUUUAGUAGUUA